This 77-nucleotide transfer RNA is filed under the name Firmicutes bacterium CAG:582. Its description in RNAcentral is "transfer RNA-Met(CAT)". It matches the Rfam family "tRNA". Rfam says of the family: Transfer RNA (tRNA) molecules are approximately 80 nucleotides in length. The record is from RNAcentral. RNAcentral also lists the same sequence under 1 other name. Lineage: Bacteria; Bacillati; Bacillota.
GGAUCUUUAGCUCAGUUGGUUAGAGCAACCGGCUCAUAACCGGUCGGUCGUAGGUUCGAGUCCUACAAGAUCCACCA